This 224-nucleotide ribosomal RNA is filed under the name uncultured bacterium. Its description in RNAcentral is "partial 16S ribosomal RNA". It matches the Rfam family "Bacterial small subunit ribosomal RNA", at positions 108 to 334 of the family's 1533-position model. The record is from RNAcentral.
AGGUAAUGUAUGGGGAUCUGCCUGAUGGGGGGGGAGUAACUACUGGAAACGGUAGCUAAUACCGCAUAAUGUCUGCGGACCAAAGCGGGGGACCUCCGGGCCUCGCGCCAUCAGAUGAACCCAUAUGGGAUUAGCUAGUAGGUAAGGUAACGGCUUACCUAGGCGACGAUCCCUAGCUGGUCUGAGAGGAUGAUCAGCCACACUGGGACUGAGACACGGCCCAG